GUUCGAAUCCCUGCGACGAGGUGAGCUCCCAUUGCCCGGUCCCAACUCCUGCCAACCUAGCAGUUAGAAAGCACGAAGUGCAAGUAGAUAAAUAGGUACCGCUCCAGCUGGAAGGUAAACAGCGUUGUCGUGCGCUGCUCUGGUUCGCCAGAAGCAGCUUAGUCAUGCUGGCCACAUGACCCAGAAGCUGUACGCUGGCUCCCUCAGCCAGGAAAGUGAGAUGAGCGCUGCAACCCCAGAGCCGUCCGCGACUGGACCUAAUGGUCAGGGGUCCCUUUACCUUUAUGUACCUGCCAAGGAGUCUUCACAUCCUCAUUAUGGGGACUUCUGUAAGAGCAAUGUUUGCUAGCUCAUGCCUUCAGAGUUUUCCCAACAUUAAUAAUCCAUAAGAAAACUUGGUCAUCCAUGUCAGAUAAAACAAUCCCUUUAUCUCCUACAUCUGGUGAACUUUUUUAUUUAUUUCACAAGUGAAAAAGUUCCUAGUGUUGCAUAAGAGCUGCAGGCAUGAAUAUUUGAUAGCCAGACCUCCCAUAAGUGUAACAAAUCUGAUGUGCUGCUGGAAGCCAUUAGGCAUUCUGUUUACUCCGUAAGUGUACAUUUUUAGAAAUCUAUUGAGAGUCACAGUCUAAAGAGAUUUGAAUUGGGGGAUUUAUUAUGCGGCUGAGGUUGUGGAUGUAAAUUAUCUACUUCCCCAGGAGUUUAGUGAACACUUGCAUCCACUCUAUGUAUUUCUAAACUUAAUUAAUGUUUUUCACAUUGGCAUCAUUCUUGUAGCUGUGUGUUUUAAUGAAUUGCUACUGUACACCCUUCACUGGUGUGCAUUUGUAAGUUGCAUGAGUACAGCCAUUCUGAAGGUGAAACCAGGAAGUAUCAGCCCCACAUCUUCUCAUCUCCCCUUCCACCACCCACAACAAUAUGCAGUAAAACACCCAACAUCAACACACUCCCAGUUUCCCUUUCUCACAAACAGCAGACCAUGAAGCAACACAGGGGCAGGAAAACUCUCAGUACAUCACAAGUUACCAGGGAGAGAGACAGAUAACAUUAUCUUCUCUUGCUUUUGGCCACCAUCUCCCAUUAACAUCUGUGUUCCAGCUUGGGCUGCCACCGUUCAAUUAGGAUGACACUGUUUGCAAUGGUAUAGAAUUUUAUAGGAAAGCACAUUUGUAGCUAAACGGCUUUGAUAAAUUUUGAACAUCCUUGAUGAUCUGUGGAAAACAAUGUGCACUUUUUAAUUUUAAUUUUCAGCCAGGUUUCCAAACCAAUCCAAAUUACGCUUGAGAUCUGCAUUGUUUCAUACUCCAGAAAUGAUGUCUUUUUGGAAACCAGAGGCAAACCAGUAUGAUUAAAGUGACAAAAUGUAAUAGCUCCAACCAAAUAUACCGUAUAGCCAAUGUAAAUUGAGUAAACUGGAAAUUAAUAUUCUACGGAUGACAUAAUGGAACUCUAGACUUUACUUGUCGGUCAUGUUGUUAAAUCACUUAACUAUUUACACACCAUGCUUGUUAAUGGGAAAAUAUUUUAAUACAAUAUCUGACAAAGUCGUACUCAAAGGAGGCGCACUGAAAUCAACAGACUUCAGUUUGUCAUGACUGGGGAUGGAGAAGAAAGUCAAUUCAAUUCCCAUUUAAAGCCAAAUCUAUCAAAUCUGCACUUUCCAAAAUAAUAUGAGACCUGAAAUCCAGCCAUACCCUCUGGAUUCACACUUAUCUGAAUUCUGCAAUGUAGUUCUCCAGCCAAGCAAUGUUUCACAAAAGAAUAUUGGGGAAAGUGUGCCUAAAACUGAAUAUAUUAGUAAACAUAACAUUAAAAAUGUAUUCUAUUAGGAGAAACUACAAGCAAGCAAAGGGCAUGGUGCACAAGAUUUUCUGUCCGCUAUAAGCUUCCCUUUCAACCCGAAAAAUGUCUUAGGCAAAAAUUCGCUGCAGCCCUAGAAACAUAGCUGUCAAAGGUUACAUAUUUUCGUGAGUUCAUGUAAGUUGUAUCCUGCAGUUCCCUCUGCUGCUUUUAAUUAACAGUUUAUUAACGUAAAACAUUUUCACGUGGUUAUGAGCAUAAUUGCACAGUUAAAGCAAUUGCUUGUGGUCUAACAUCAUUAAUAAUAAUAAAUUUUAUUUAUAUCCCGCCCUCCCCAGCCGAAGCCGGGCUCAGGGCGGCUAACAACAAUAAAACAGUACAAAAGUACAGCACAAACAACACUCUAAAAUCAUUCAUUAUAAAAUUAAUUAAUUCAAGCCACUGGCAACUAUUGGGCCAGAGCUCCGCGAAGAUUGCCGAGGGAGUCAGGCUGUGCCCUGGCCAAAGGCCUGGUGGAACAGCUCUGUCUUGCAGGCCCUGCGGAAAGAUGUCAAGUUCCGCAGGGCCCUGGUCUCUUGUGACAGAGUUUUCCUCCACAGUUAUGUUCCACCACAGUUAUUACUACAGUUAUGGUAUGAAACUGGCAGUUAUGGGUGUACAAUAAGGAAAAUUGUGGUUGCAUAAUAUUCAACCUCUGUCCGAACCUCUGCACAUCAUCUUACUCUGCUGUGUGACCUACUGCUUUUCCAUACACUUGUGGAAAUUUCCAACCAUGGUAGAAGUUACUGUUACCCAAUAACACUUAGCUGUAUUGGGAAAAGAAGAAUGCCUAUCAGCAUUCAUGAUUUUGAUUUUCUAAAACCAUUGAUUCAUUUUGGAGGCUGGGGAGGGGACGUGCAUUGCAAUGCCAGUUCUAUACAUGUGACAUAAUAAGGUCACAGAAUGGUUGGUUAAGGUCUUUCCUCUCUGUCUAAAAAAACCCAAACAAAAUAUAACUCUACAAAAUGUUACAAUCACGUGGAAAGUUGUAUUAAUGACUGUGGAACAGCCACUUCUGUCCCAACAGGUUAAGCUGCCCCACAGGAUCCCAUUGAUCGGAAAUGUAAAGAGGGCUGGGUAACAGGUGCUCCUGUCCUGAGCACACCUAGAAGGGGCAUCAAAGGUAAUUUGACAUACUGACAGCUAUUAAGCCAGCAUGUAGUCAUGUCAUCUUUUCACUAUAUUUUCAGUGUUUUCCAAGUGGCAGAAGAUGAGUAUCCAGAGAGGAGCCUUCUCAGAGGCUCAGGGAGCAAUCCCAAGGCAAGAUCCACUGGGAUGAGUGGCUUAAUACAGCAGAUUUCCAUCUGAGUUGACUUGGCUCAGCUCAACUCCGGCUCAGCUGAAGAUAUGGCAGUGUAACUUGUUCCUCCUGCUCAGCAUUAGGUACCAACAGGAGUUGUUGCAGGAAAAUUGUUUAGCCUGUCUUUAUUCUAUAAAAAGACUACUGGCUGAUUCAAAAUAGUCAUUACCAGCAGAGUUGAAAAUGUCAGAAAUUUUAUUGGUCUGCUCAUGAGACAAUUUAAACAUCAUGGGCACCAGGAAUUUCUCCAAAAGCCAAACCAGUCCCCUACAAAUACAUGAACUUUCUAAUCAAGCAUACAGAUAUAUAAGACAAGGGUGACAUAACAUAAACACUUGUAGAAAAUAGAGUUUCGUCUACUUGACCCUAUUGUUUCUCACACAAAGCUGAUCUCAGAAUGCUGCUUUCUUCCUGC
Podarcis lilfordi (Lilford's wall lizard) is the source of this 3551-nucleotide non-coding RNA. NCBI's taxonomy places the organism in Eukaryota, Metazoa, Chordata, Lepidosauria, Squamata, Lacertidae. The record is from the annotation of a GenBank genome assembly.